GCUCGGUGUUUUUAAACAGCCGCGGUAAUUUGACCGUGCAAAGGUAGCAUAAUCAUUUGCUUCAUAAUUGGGGGCUGGAAUGAAAGGAAGUACAAAAUUUUUACUUUAUUUUAAGGAGGCUAAAAAAUUUCUUUUCUAGUGAAGAAGCUAGAAUUUUGUUGGGGGACAAGAAGACCCUUUUGAGUUUUAUUGAUUUUAAUAUUUUUUUUUUUCUUUUAAUUUAGUUGGGGCGACUUAGGAAUUUUAUCUUCCUUAUUUUAUUUUGAUCCAAAGAUCUUGCUUAAUAGAAAAAAUUACCAAAGGGAUAACAGCGUAAUUUUUUUUGAUAGUUCUUAUUAAAAAAAAAGAUUGCGACCUCGAUGUUGACUUAUUUUUAUCAUAUGGUGUAGUAGCUGUAUAGAUAGGUCUGUUCGACCUUUAAAUUUUUACGUGAGUUGAGUUC
This 442-nucleotide ribosomal RNA is filed under the name Monostilifera sp. Hoplo_CB129_CB129_18_02. RNAcentral's name for it is "partial 16S ribosomal RNA". It matches the Rfam family "Bacterial large subunit ribosomal RNA", at positions 1861 to 2612 of the family's 2925-position model. Lineage: Eukaryota; Metazoa; Nemertea; Enopla; Monostilifera. The record is from RNAcentral.